UGGCGAACGGGUGAGUAACACGUGAGCAACCUGCCCUAAAGAGGGGGAUAACGUUUGGAAACGAACGCUAAUACCGCAUAAAAUAUACGACAGGCAUCUGUGCGUAUAUCAAAGGAGAGAUCCGCUUUUGGGAUGGGCUCGCGUCCGAUUAGAUAGUUGGCGGGGUAACGGCCCACCAAGUCGACGAUCGGUAGCCGGACUGAGAGGUUGAACGGCCACAUUGGGACUGAGACACGGCCCAG
Molecule: ribosomal RNA, 242 nt
Filed under: uncultured bacterium
Lineage: Bacteria
Description: partial 16S ribosomal RNA
Rfam family: Bacterial small subunit ribosomal RNA
Source: RNAcentral